RNAcentral lists this long non-coding RNA (271 nucleotides) under Carica papaya (papaya). Its description in RNAcentral is "long non-coding RNA (CPAP_LNC013135)". Lineage: Eukaryota; Viridiplantae; Streptophyta; Magnoliopsida; Brassicales; Caricaceae. The record is from RNAcentral.
AUCACAAUACCCACUUACUAUACUGAAAAUACUUCCAAAACACUUUGAAAACUACAUAUGGCAUGAAAUCACAACAUCCACAUACCUCGAGUAUGAUGCAAUCAAUUUAAGCUUUCUCUAUUAUGACAGAUUCUCCCCUUAUAUUUUUCUCAGUUUUCUUUGGUCACUCUGUCAGAGUCUUCCCUUAAAAAUACUUCAAUUCUCUCUUUUCACUUUACCAGAAUCUCCCUUUAUAUUUUCAUCAAUUUCCUACCAAAAUUUUGAUAGCAUC